Molecule: ribosomal RNA, 497 nt
Filed under: uncultured bacterium
Lineage: Bacteria
Description: partial 16S ribosomal RNA
Rfam family: Bacterial small subunit ribosomal RNA
Source: RNAcentral
GACGAACGCUGGCGGCGUGCCUAAUACAUGCAAGUAGAACGCUGAAGCGAGGAGCUUGCUCUUCUUGGAUGAGUUGCGAACGGGUGAGUAACGCGUAGGUAACCUGCUUUGUAGCGGGGGAUAACUAUUGGAAACGAUAGCUAAUACCGCAUAACAAUGGAUGACACAUGUCCUUUAUUUGAAAGUGGCAAUUGCUCCACUACAAGAGGGACCUGCGUUGAAUUAGCUAGUAGGUAAGGUAAUGACUCACCUAGGCGACGAUACAUAGCCGACCCGAGAGGGUGAUCGGGCACACUGGGACUGAAACACGGCCCAGACUCCUAAGGCAAGCAGCAAUAGGGAAUCUUCGGCAAUGGGGGCAACCCUGACCGAGCAACGCCGCGUGAGUGAAGAAUGGUUUCGGAUCGUAAAGCUCGGUUGUAUGUCAAGAACGGGUGUGAGAGUGGAAAGUUCACACUGUGACGGUAGCUUACCAGAAAGGGACGGCUAACUACGUG